RNAcentral lists this ribosomal RNA (426 nucleotides) under uncultured bacterium. Its description in RNAcentral is "bacterial SSU rRNA". It matches the Rfam family "Bacterial small subunit ribosomal RNA", at positions 64 to 507 of the family's 1533-position model. The record is from RNAcentral.
GAACGAGAAAGUGGAGCAAUCCAUGAGUAAAGUGGCGACCGGGUGAGUAACACGUGACUAACCUACCUCCGAGUGGGGAAUAACUCCGGGAAACCGGGGCUAAUACCGCAUAACAUCGCAAGGGGAAGCUCCUUGCGAUCAAAGAAGCAAUUCGCUCAAGGAGGGGGUCGCGGCUGAUUAGCUAGUUGGUGAGGUAACGGCCCACCAAGGCUUAGAUCAGUAGCCGGCCUGAGAGGGCGCACGGCCACACUGGAACUGAAACACGGUCCAGACUCCUACGGGAGGCAGCAGUGGGGAAUUUUGCGCAAUGGGGGAAACCCUGACGCAGCAACGCCGCGUGGAGGAUGAAGCCCUUUGGGGCGUAAACUCCUUUCGACUCGGACGAUAAUGACGGUACGAGUGGAAGAAGCACCGGCUAACUCUGUG